RNAcentral lists this ribosomal RNA (449 nucleotides) under uncultured bacterium. RNAcentral describes it as "bacterial SSU rRNA". It matches the Rfam family "Bacterial small subunit ribosomal RNA", at positions 29 to 521 of the family's 1533-position model. The record is from RNAcentral.
AACGAACGCUGGCGGCAGGCCUAACACAUGCAAGUCGAACGGACCCUUCGGGGUUAGUGGCGCACGGGUGCGGAACACGUGGGAACAUACCCCUUUGGUAAGGAAUAAUAUUUGGAAACGAAUACUAAUACCUUAUAAUAUCUUCGGAUCAAAGAUUUAUCGCCAAAGGAUUGGCCCGCGUCUGAUUAGCUUGUUGGUGAGGUAAUGGCUCACCAAGGCUACGAUCAGUAGGGGGUCUGAGAGGAUGACUCCCCCACACUGGGACUGAGACACGGCCCAGACUCCUACGGGAGGCAGCAGUGAGGAAUAUUGCACAAUGGAGGAACUCUGAUGCAGCCAUGCCGCGUGAGUGAAGAAGGCCUUAGGGGUUGUAAAGCUCUUUCAAUGGUGAAGAUAAUGACGGUAGCCAUAGAAGAAGCCCCGGCUAAAUUCGUGCCAGCAGCCGCGGU